Pangasianodon gigas (Mekong giant catfish) is the source of this 77-nucleotide non-coding RNA. The record is from the annotation of a GenBank genome assembly. Lineage: Eukaryota; Metazoa; Chordata; Actinopteri; Siluriformes; Pangasiidae.
GCUGUGGUAGCUCAGUGGUUAAGACGUUGGAUUUCUGAUCGGAAGGUUGAGUGUUCAAAUGCCAGCGCUACCAAGCU